AGAAAGAAGAUCUGGGCCGUUCAAAAAAGAAAAAGGACAAGCUUGAAACCAGAAAGAACACUCGAAUUUUGUUUACGAGCCUUGUUUCUUGACCUUCUUCUUUUUCUUU
Molecule: non-coding RNA, 109 nt
Filed under: Oxyrrhis marina
Lineage: Eukaryota; Dinophyceae; Oxyrrhinales; Oxyrrhinaceae
Source: RNAcentral